RNAcentral lists this ribosomal RNA (253 nucleotides) under uncultured bacterium. RNAcentral's name for it is "partial 16S ribosomal RNA". It matches the Rfam family "Archaeal small subunit ribosomal RNA", at positions 474 to 727 of the family's 1478-position model. The record is from RNAcentral.
UACCAGCACCCCGAGUGGUCGGGACGAUUAUUGGGCCUAAAGCAUCCGUAGCCGGCCUUACAAGUCCUCCGUUAAAUCCAGCUGCUUAACAGAUGGGCUGCGGAGGAUGCUAUAAGACUAGGAGGCAGGAGAGGCCAGCGGUACUCAGUGGGUAGGGGUAAAAUCCGUUGAUCCAUUGAAGACCACCAGUGGCGAAGGCGGCUUGCCAGAAUGCGCUCGACGGUGAGGGAUGAAAGCUGGGGGAGCAAACCGG